This is a non-coding RNA of Chiloscyllium plagiosum (whitespotted bambooshark), 1514 nucleotides long. Lineage: Eukaryota; Metazoa; Chordata; Chondrichthyes; Orectolobiformes; Hemiscylliidae. The record is from RefSeq and is a predicted model, not a curated record.
UGAACCCGGGUCUCUGGCGCUGUGAGGCAGCAGUACUAACCACUGUGCCACCGUGCCGCCCAGAGCAAGCUGAAGGCCCGGAGUGGAGCGGGUUGGAGGCCUGGAGUGGAGCAAACUGAAGGCCCGGAGUGGAGCGGGUUGGAGGCCCUGAGUGGAGCGGGUUGGAGGCCCGGAAUGGAGCGGGUUGGAGGCCCGGAGUGGAGCGGGUUGGAGGCCCGGAAUGGAGCGGUUUGGAGGCCCGGAGUGGAGCGGGUUGGAGGCCCGGAAUGGAGCGGGUUGGAGGCCCGGAGUGGAGCAAGCUGAAGGCCCGGAGUGGAGCGAGUUGGAGGCCCUGAGUGGAGCGGGUUGGAGGCCCGGAAUGGAGCAGGUUGGAGGCCCGGAAUGGAGCGGGUUGGAGGCCCGGAGUGGAGCAAGCUGAAGGCCCUGAGUGGAGCGGGUUGGAGGCUCGGAGUGGAGCGGGUUGGAGGCUCGGAGUGGAGCGGGUUGGAGGUCCGGAGUGGAGCGGGUCGGAGGUCCGGAUUGGAGCGGGUUGGAGGCCCGGAGUGGAGCGGGUUGGAGGCCCGGAAUGGAGCGGGUUGGAGGCCCGGAGUGGAGCGGGUUGGAGGCCCGGAAUGGAGCAGGUUGGAGGCCCGGAGUGGAGCGGGUUGGAGGCCCGGAAUGGAGCGGGUUGGAGGCCCGGAGUGGAGCGGGUUGGAGGCCUGAAGUGGAGCGGCUUGGAGGCCCGGAGUGGAGCGGCUUGGAGUGGAGAGGCUUGGAGGCCCGGAGUGGAGCAGGGACAGUUGUUGGACUGAUGUCUGGCACAGGUGAUCAGACCACGCGUAGAACCCCUGUGCUGAGCCACUGCACUGUAAUGUUUAUUCUUUUAACUACGUCUUAUUUCUAACUUAUACUAUGGAUCACUGUAAAGUAAUGCUAUUUCUUUUCUUUUGUAUUCCUCUUUUAGUAUCUAAGAUUUGUACACAGAUGUGUUGUCCCCAAGAUGGUACCAUUAAGAGGUGACAUUAUAAGCUUGUCACUGUACUCCUGCACUUCUGUAUUGAGUGCGUGACAAUAAAUGAUAUUCUAUUCUAUUCUAAGAUGUAAAAAUGAAGGGGAAAGUCAAAAUUGCAUUUAUCUAGCAACUUUUUUGAGCUCCAGGAUGUCAUGAAAAACUUCAUAGUUCAAGACUUUGGAAACGUCAACACUGCGGCAUUGUAUAAAUUACACCAGUCAGUUAGUGCACAGCAGCAUCUGAAACCAGUGAUACGUUUCGUGAUUUGCAUUAUGGGAUAAAUAUCUGGGUGAACUUUCCUUCAAAACAAAACCAUGGGAUGGUCAUUCCCGCCUACAAGAGGGCUUUUGCUUGAACACCUCACCUGAAGAUGGAACUUCUGACAGUGCAGCACUCCUGCAGUACCGCAUUAGAGGUUCAGUUUGGGCUCCAGGCUGUGUUAUGCAAUAUGAAUUGAUUUUAGAUUAGAUUACUUACAGAGUGGAAACAGGCCCUUCCGCCCAACAAGUCCACACCGACCCUC